Long non-coding RNA from Arabidopsis thaliana (thale cress), 376 nucleotides. RefSeq annotates it as other RNA. The transcript has a single exon. NCBI's taxonomy places the organism in Eukaryota, Viridiplantae, Streptophyta, Magnoliopsida, Brassicales, Brassicaceae. The record is from RefSeq.
ACCAGGGUCCAGGGAUGAUUUUCCAUUAAUUACAAUACUCUCUCAUGUCAGAAGACGAGGACCCAACAACAACAACAAGCACUAGCUCAUCGUGACUUGAGAGCCGCCCUGUUUCACCAAACUGAUACCAAAGACCUCUUACUUCAACUAACUCACAACACCCGUCGUCGUCCUCAACAAUCUCACGCCAUCCACAUAAAUGUCCUACCUCCAUGAGCACCAACGCAACAACUACCACUCCACAGUCUCACCAAAGUGGAUACACAAGGUUCCCACAUACGCUUUACCCAAGUCUGUUCAGGGUGAAAACACAAAGAGGAUGUGCGUUAAGUAUAUGGAAGAAUUAGUUUUUCAAAGGCGGACGAAGAGAGUGCAC